UUUUUGAGUUCGGAUUCUCAGGUUGAAAUGGUUGUUGUUAUUUUAGUUAUUGUGUGUUUUUCUUACUUAUGUUUGGAUUUUUAUAUUUUGCAGUGAAAGAGCUUGAAGGGGGAAAGGAGAAUUGGUACUAGAAAGUGAACAAUUUUCUUGUUGAGAGGAUGACAUUCACAUAAGAUAUCCAAUCUGAAGGCUCUUGGAAGAAUCAAUCUGAUAGGAUACCCAAUAUGAAACUAGGAAGAACUGAUAUGACUCGGUUCAAAGAGAACCGAGUCGAAUCCUAGAUUGCUUCUAUUAAAAAAAACCGAGGCGAAUCGAAGUGACUUUUUACCUCGUCUAUAUAUGUCUCGGUUCCCAAACCGAGGUUUAUGGCAAAAAAUAACAGGUGCCAAUUUGUUUAACUGCACUAGUAUUAUGAUCUAAUACUUUAAAUUUAAUUUAUGCUUUUUAUGGUUGCUUUUUAAUAUUGCAAGUUCAUUAAUCAUCUGAUAUUGGGCUGCUCUGUUUGCAUUAAUGCUUAAUGGUCCUGUUAAGUUUUUAUUAUAACCACUGUUAUGAACCUAUUUGGAACAAUGCUUUGAACCAGCCAUGUACACGUCUCUGUCCUCUUUUUCUUUCUUUUUUUUUCCUAUAUUUCCUUAUUCUAGAAUUUGUACUUAAAUCUAUCUAUAUCACAUAAAAUAUAUUAUCUAAGUUUGUAUAUUUAGCAAGGUUUCAAACGUUCGAUCAGUUCAAGGAUUCAAGGUCCAACUGAGUUUGUUUGCUUACAUACCUAUGAAUAUAUGAAAUUAUGUAAAAAUAUAAUUUAUGUUUGUAAACAAGUAUAAUAAUGGAGGAAAAGCCAAAGUAUAUCAUUAGCACUGGUUCACUGGUAAGCUUCUCUAUUUAAUGGGUUGAUCAGACUGGUCAAAACAUCAACUCUUGAUCUCCCAUGUUAAUCUGCUAGGUUUUAAAAACAAGCAAGGUUGUAUAGAUUCUAGACACUACACUACAGAUGUCAAUGUUAUUUGAGGGACCAAGUUUGCAUCUUAUUUGAAAUAGAUAUCAACAUUUAAUUUUUAGUUUAUUUUUGAACUUUAUAUUCCUAACUAACAAGUAUAUCUUGGUCUCCUGUGUCAGAGUUGUUGCUUAUCUUUCCCGUGUGCUAGAAUCUGCAUUUACUGCUCUAGAAGGCCUUAACAAACAAGCAUUCCUGACUGAAUUGGGGAAUCGCCUGCACAAGGUGCUACUAAACCAUUGCCAGAAGUAUACUUUUAAUCCAAGGCUAUUCCAGGUGUUCCAAGAAUCAAUUAUGGCUAUAAUCCUACAACAUGGAUGCUUGAGAUUAGCAAUCCUUCAUAUGAAGCUCAACUUGGCAUAGAUUUUUCGGUUUUUUGGAGAUUUACGCUAACUCUACUCUUUACCUAAAUAAUCAAGAGCUUAUCAAAGAACUCAGUACUCCACCACCAGGUUCCAAUGACUUGCACUUCCCAACCAAAUAUUCCUAGUCAUUACUUGAUUAUUAUAUGCAACGCAGAGGUCUCAAUUGCAUUCGUGGAAGAAAACAAGAUAGUCGAGGCUCUGCUAUUGAAAUCCUAUCUUUUAAAUUAGUUUAGUUGUUAGGAAAGAUUAGAGAGUUUUGUACAAUCUUAUCAUGCAGGCAGCCAGUCUGACCCAUAUAUUUGUUUUUGAAACAUUUUAGUUAUUGAAGACAUUUCCAAAGG
Vigna angularis (adzuki bean) is the source of this 1700-nucleotide long non-coding RNA. RefSeq lists it as uncharacterized. NCBI's taxonomy places the organism in Eukaryota, Viridiplantae, Streptophyta, Magnoliopsida, Fabales, Fabaceae. The transcript has 4 exons. The record is from RefSeq and is a predicted model, not a curated record.